AAUCCUAAGAGUUGUAGUCGAUGUCCGUCUUGUGGUUGGUAGACCAAUUCCUUGUUUACUUUAUUCUUUAUAAUAGUUGAAAAAUGCUAAAAAUUUUACAAAAAUAUUUUCAUCUGCAUUAAUUGAACCCAUUUGUUUGAGAAAAAAAAGUAGAAUAAUAAUCCUGAUGUUUAGUCAUUGAAUUUGUAUAGGGACUACCAAAUGCAGGAAAAUCAAAAUUGUUGGGUUCAGUAACACUUGCAAAACGUGAUAUUGCUGAUUACCCUUUCACAACUUUAAUUUCAAACCUUGGACGGCUGAGGCCACAUAAGCAGAUUUUCCCGGUCUUAUUGAAGGUGCUCAUCUAGGGAAGGGUCAUGGCCGCAAUUUUCUUCGACACUUGAGAAGGACUCGACUGUUAGUUCAUGUUGUUGAUGCAGCCACUCCAGAUCCUUUGACCGACUACAAGACGAUAAGAGAUGCAAAAGAGAGAAUCACAUCAAUGUCUCAAGAAAUUUCAACAAUUGGAAAGGAUGACAAUGGAGAAAUUCUUGUAGAAUCCUUAAAGGAAAUUGAGGAUUACCCGCGACCUCUUGCAGUUGUUGGUGUGAUCGUUUUUAAAUUCAUUAAUUUAGAUGGUAUGUUGAUGGCGAUAAGGACAACGUUAAGGAACUGUCGGGCUGAUGAAAUGUUGGCGUCGGUUGGAAAAGAUAAAAAAAACAUGUAAAAUUGUAAUAUUUGAGAUCCUUGGCCUUGUUCAGAAAUUUAUGUAGAGAAUUAUGUUAAUUGCUUGUAGCUAAGGAGAGUUUUGUGCAAGUAAAAAUAUAUGAGAGGUCUAUUUAGAAUCAUAUAUAGGAGAAUUGUAAUUAUGUUAAUUGCCAUAUUAUUAGCUGUAUCUGAGGUCUUUUUCUGAGAAAUACUUCAUUGACAAGUCUGUUCAUGCCUUAGGUAGGCUUGUUUGAAUCUUAGUCUCU
This is a long non-coding RNA of Impatiens glandulifera, 953 nucleotides long. RefSeq lists it as uncharacterized. The transcript is spliced from 4 exons. Lineage: Eukaryota; Viridiplantae; Streptophyta; Magnoliopsida; Ericales; Balsaminaceae. The record is from RefSeq and is a predicted model, not a curated record.